UGUGUGCGUCUGUCUGUCUGUUCAGGUCUGUUUCAGACUACGUCUGCCUGUCUGUCCAGGUCUGUUUUAGGCUGUGUCUGUCUGUCUGUCUGGGUCUGUUUCAGGCUGUGUCUGUCUGUCUGUCCGGGUCUGUUUCAGGCUGUGUCUGUCUGUCUGUCCGGGUCUGUUUCAGGCUGUGUCUGGGUCUGUUUCAGGCUGUCUGUCUGUCUGUCUGGGUCUGUUUCAGGCUGUGUCUGUCUGUCUGUUUGUCUGGGUCUGUUUCAGGCUGUAUGUGUGUCUGCUCUUUGCUUCUGCUCCUGGCUCUGUGUGUAUUUCCCGG
Molecule: long non-coding RNA, 319 nt
Filed under: Homo sapiens (human)
Lineage: Eukaryota; Metazoa; Chordata; Mammalia; Primates; Hominidae
Description: HSALNT0395753
Source: RNAcentral